AUGGCGUCGGCCUGCUUCUUCGCCCGCUGCGCCUCCCUCCCCGCGCGCCUCGUCGCUCACCCCACGCCCCUCGCCAUCACCUCCUGCAGGCUGCGGCGGCUCGGCGCCGAGGGAGCAAGGCCGGUGUGCGCCGCCGGGAGGAUGCUCGGCUCCGUCAGAUACGGCACCGGAGCGGCGUUGGGCCCCAAGGAAGCGGGUGCGGAGGUGGCCGCCGUGCCGCCAUCGGUGCCGGUGCGCGUCGCCUACGAGCUGCAGCUGGCCGGCCACCGCUACCUCGACGUCAGAACGGAGGGCGAGUUCGGCGGCGGGCAUCCGGCAGGAGCGGUGAACAUCCCCUACAUGCACAGCACCGGCUCAGGGAUGGCCAAAAACUCAGGUUUUCUAGAGCAAGUGUCGGCGAUAUUCAGGAGGGAGGACGAGAUCAUCAUCGGAUGCCAAAGUGGCAGGAGGUCUCUCAUGGCAGCAGCCGAACUCUGCUCCGCCGGUUACACUGGUGUGACCGACAUCGCCGGAGGGUAUUCUGCUUGGAAGGAGAACGAGCUGCCGAUCAACCAGUGA
This 558-nucleotide ribosomal RNA is filed under the name Triticum aestivum (bread wheat). RNAcentral describes it as "partial small subunit ribosomal RNA". Lineage: Eukaryota; Viridiplantae; Streptophyta; Magnoliopsida; Poales; Poaceae. The record is from RNAcentral.